Capra hircus (goat) is the source of this 1132-nucleotide long non-coding RNA. RefSeq lists it as uncharacterized. The transcript has 3 exons. NCBI's taxonomy places the organism in Eukaryota, Metazoa, Chordata, Mammalia, Artiodactyla, Bovidae. The record is from RefSeq and is a predicted model, not a curated record.
UGCAGGGGGCAGGAGAGGCUGGGAAGGUCUCCCUCGAGAGGCAAGUGAUGACUUUGGGGUGGUGCGCAGGUGAACAUCUUUAAUGUAAGAGCAUACUGAUGGUCAGAGCACAUUAGGAAAAAUUAUGACCAGCCCAUCGAACUCAUUCAGAGAGAGGCUGGAGCUGGCAGUUCGCACGAGGGAGGGUUCGGUGGCAGCCAGGGUGCAGGGGACAGGAGGAGCUGCAGAAAGAGGUUUUGGGGUUUGUGGAGGCUUGGCGGGUGGGUGGGCAGAUGUGGAGCCCCGGCCGAGCGGGCCCUGCCUGGGGAGACAGGAAGUGAAUCGACUGCCGACUGCCGAGGCGCCUCACCUCGCCCAGACUCACCCAGACGUCUGCCUGGUCUGCCCGACUGGUUCCUCAGCUGGGCCUCCAGUCACUCCCCGCCCGGGAGCUGGACAGACCUGUCGCACAGAUCCCUCCCUUGGGAUCAAGUUCAAGCUCCUCGCUGAGGUUCACAAGGGCCUUGCUGGAGCCGGUAGCUGCUGCUAUGGUCUUUCCCCUGAGGUUUCCUAAGCCCUCGAGCCCAGUGUCUACCGUCCUCGAAGGCAGGGAGGGACCCCCUCGCCUGUCAGUCCUGCCUCAGGGUUUUCUGGGGAUGAUGAAGUGAGCGGCGGCUCCCACUCUUCCAAGUGCUCCCCUGAAAGGCAGAUUCUCUACCGUCUGAGCCACCUGGGAGAAUGUCUGAAGAAGAGAUGGACGACAUGACUGGGGGAGCUUGGGCUGGGCUGGACCUGGUAUAAGACUACAGAAGCAGGAGAAGGAUGGCGGGAGGUCUGAAGUCAUCUGGAGAAUGGGAAGCAGGUUGAGGGAAUCCGGACAGUGCGGGGUGGGGGUUGGGCCGGGCCCGGCCUUGGGGACCUGCCCAGGGGAGCUCCAAUCAGGGCGGGGAAACAGCACGCCCUCCACAUCAUAAUAAGGGUUGGGACAGUCUGAGUAAGACUCAACAGUCUUUCGACGUAAGAAGUUACGGAGACUUGCAGGGUCCACUGGAUACUAACCCAGAAGACAGAGAAGCGUGGAGGAAGGCUCUGCGCCAGCCGCAGGUACCAUCCCGCAACAUCGUGGAAACUGCUGCAUGGAAAAGAGUGACUC